AGAGUUUGAUCAUGGCUCAGGAUGAACGCUGGCGGCGUGCCUAAUACAUGCAAGUCGAUCGCUGGAGGCUUAGCUUGCUAAGCCAAGGAGAGGCGAACGGGUGAGUAAUACAUAAGCAACCUGCCCACGGAGACCGGGAUAAUCCCUGGAAACGGGGACUAAGACCGGAUAGGUAGCAGAGCCGCAUGACACUGCUAUUAAAGGACAAAGACACUGGUGGAUGGGCUUAUGGCGCAUUAGCUUGUUGGCGGGGUAACGACCCACCAAGGCGAUGAUGCGUAGCCGGCCUGAGAGGGUGAACGGCCACAUUGGGACUGAGACACGGCCCAGACUCCUACGGGAGGCAGCAGUAGGGAAUUUUCGGCAAUGGGGGAAACCCUGACCGAGCAACGCCGCCGUGAGUGAAGACGGCCUUCGGGUUGUAAAGCUCUGUUGUAGGGGAAGAACGGCAUGGAGAGGAUCCAUGAAUGACGGUACCUUACCAGAAAGCCACGGCUAACUACGUGCCAGCCGCCGC
Molecule: ribosomal RNA, 517 nt
Filed under: uncultured bacterium
Lineage: Bacteria
Description: bacterial SSU rRNA
Rfam family: Bacterial small subunit ribosomal RNA
Source: RNAcentral